UGGGGAAUAUUGGACAAUGGGCGCAAGCCUGAUCCAGCCAUGCCGCGUGCAGGAUGACGGUCCUAUGGAUUGUAAACUGCUUUUUGUACAGGAAGAAACAGUUCUACGUGUAGAACCUUGACGGUACUGUAAGAAUAAGGAUCGGCUAACUCCGUGCCAGCAGCCGCGGUAAUACGGAGGAUCCAAGCGUUAUCCGGAAUCAUUGGGUUUAAAGGGUCCGUAGGCGGUUAGAUAAGUCAGUGGUGAAAGCCCAUCGCUCAACGGUGGAACGGCCAUUGAUACUGUCUGACUUGAAUUAUUAGGAAGUAACUAGAAUAUGUAGUGUAGCGGUGAAAUGCUUAGAGAUUACAUGGAAUACCAAUUGCGAAGGCAGGUUACUACUAAUGGAUUGACGCUGAUGGACGAAAGCGUGGGGAGCAAACGGGAUUAGAUACCCUUGUAGUCCCUGAGCGGGCUGGCAAGGCGCAU
RNAcentral lists this ribosomal RNA (468 nucleotides) under uncultured bacterium. RNAcentral describes it as "bacterial SSU rRNA". It matches the Rfam family "Bacterial small subunit ribosomal RNA", at positions 355 to 825 of the family's 1533-position model. The record is from RNAcentral.